CUGCUGCCUUCCGUAGGAGUUUGGGCCGUGUCUCAGUCCCAAUGUGGCCGUUCACCCUCUCAGGCCGGCUACUGAUCGUUGCCUUGGUAGGCUUUUACCCCACCAACUAGCUAAUCAGACGCGGAACCAUCGUAUACCACCUCAGUUUUUCACACUGCUUCAUGCGAAGCUGUGCGCUUAUGCGGUAUUAGCACCUAUUUCUAAGUGUUAUCCCCCAGUAUACGGCAGGUUUUCCACGCGUUACUCACCCGUCCGCCA
RNAcentral lists this ribosomal RNA (258 nucleotides) under uncultured bacterium. Its description in RNAcentral is "partial 16S ribosomal RNA". The record is from RNAcentral.